AGAGUUUGAUCAUGGCUCAAGAUGAACGCUGGCGGCGUGCGUAACACAUGCAAGUUGAGCGACGACGCAUCUGACGUGGCACAUGUAAAGUGCGAGCGGAGCAGCGGACGGGUGAGUAUAACAUGAGAAGCUGUCCUCUGGUGGGGGGCAACGUCUAGAAAUGGACGCUAAUACCCCAUAGGCCGAAAGGUUAAAGCAGCAAUGCGCCAGAGGAGGUGCUCGUGCCCUAUCAGCUAGUUGGUGAGGUAAUGGCUCACCAAGGCGACGACGGGUAGCCGGCCUGAGAGGGUGUCCGGCCACACUGGGACUGAGAUACGGCCCAGACUCCUACGGGAGGCAGCAGUGGGGAAUAUUGGGCAAUGGGAGAAAUCCUGACCCACCGACGCCGCGUGAACGAAGAAGGCUUCGGGUCGUAAAGUUCUUUUAUGCGGGAAGAAGAAAGUGACGGUACCGCAUGAAUAAGCCCCGGCUAACUACGUGCCAGCAGCCGCGGUAAUACGUAGGGGCGAGCGUUGUCCGGAAUUACUGGGCGUAAAGGGCACGCAGCGGUGUGUCAAGUCAGCUGUAAAGGAUGCGGCUUAACCGUAUUGUGCAGUUGAAACUGACGUACUGGAGUACUGGGGAGGCAAGUGAAUUCCCAGUGUAGCGGUGAAAUGCGUANAUAU
RNAcentral lists this ribosomal RNA (665 nucleotides) under uncultured rumen bacterium. RNAcentral describes it as "bacterial SSU rRNA". It matches the Rfam family "Bacterial small subunit ribosomal RNA", at positions 8 to 697 of the family's 1533-position model. The record is from RNAcentral.